CCCGCCGGUACCCGAUGGAGACGGGGUCUUGCCUGCUACCUUCUCGCCGUGAGACUGGUGCACUUCUCGGCGCCGAGUACAUAUGGGCUCUUGGCUGCGGGCAUCAGACCCCAAAUGAGCGCCCUGCGUUCACGUCACCGAAUACCCAGCUCCAGGGAUGCUCUUAAUCCUGCGCGUAUUGAUUCCACUGAAACGGAAGGAAACAAACUGCCCACGCCCAAAACAAAUAUAAUUCUGUAAGAACAUGGGAGAAGCGCUAUUGCUGAGCACUCGUUAGGCUUGGGACAAUACAAAGAGGAUCCUCCUGGCUGAGGAGACAGUGUUACAUCCAAAUAAUGAAAGUUCGUGGGGUGCCAGAAUGUAGGGAAUGCAAACGCCCAUGGGACUAGAAAUGGAAAAGGAAGAUCACAGAGAGAAACCUAGAGUUUCUAGAAGUUGAAGCAUGAGUCAAUUUUUGAGGAAAAGAGAAUUCUAGGAGCAGCAGCAGCACAUGCAAAGGAAAGAAAGUAUAACCGUGGCCGUGUUUCUUAGCGAUUCUCGAAUCUGAGGCCGUCUGUGUUAUGUGAAGCUAUGAUGUAAUGAAAGGAGCACUGGGCUGCAUUAGGAGGCCUGGCUCUGUCCCCUGUGUGCAGUAUGACGUCUGCAGACAAUGCCCCUCCCUGCGCUCCAGAGUCCUUGUCUCUCGGAAGAAAUGGUUGGACGGAUAGCUUACAUUCUAGCCACGAAGAACCAAAGUUGCUUUUCCUAACUUCUGAAUUAUCUUUCAUAAAGAUCCCAGUUGCCAGUUUAUUUAUAAAUGCAUUAAAGUCUAUAAUUUUUUUAC
RNAcentral lists this long non-coding RNA (823 nucleotides) under Equus caballus (horse). RNAcentral describes it as "lncRNA (ENSECAG00000051018.1)". The record is from RNAcentral. Lineage: Eukaryota; Metazoa; Chordata; Mammalia; Perissodactyla; Equidae.